GUCCUAGCCGUAAACGGUGCACGUUUGCUGUAAAAGGAAUCGACCCCUUUUGUGGCGUAGCUAACGCGAUAAACGUGCCGCCUGGGAAGUACGGUCGCAAGAUUAAAACUCAAAGAAAUUGACGGGGGCCUGCACAAGCGGUGGAGUAUGUGGCUUAAUUCGAUGCAACGCGAAGAACCUUACCUGGCCUUGACAUGCAAGUAGUAGAAGGAUGAAAGUCUGACGAGGUAGCAAUACCAGCUUGCACAGGUGCUGCAUGGCUGUCGU
Molecule: ribosomal RNA, 267 nt
Filed under: uncultured bacterium
Lineage: Bacteria
Description: partial 16S ribosomal RNA
Rfam family: Bacterial small subunit ribosomal RNA
Source: RNAcentral